This 800-nucleotide ribosomal RNA is filed under the name uncultured bacterium. RNAcentral's name for it is "bacterial SSU rRNA". It matches the Rfam family "Bacterial small subunit ribosomal RNA", at positions 8 to 816 of the family's 1533-position model. The record is from RNAcentral.
AGAGUUUGAUCAUGGCUCAGGAUAAACGCUGGCGGCGCACAUAAGACAUGCAAGUCGAACGGACCAAAUAUUUUGCUUGCAAGAUAAGAGGUUAGUGGCGGACUGGUGAGUAACACGUAAGAAAUCUGCCUAUCAGAGGGGAAUAACAGUGAGAAAUCAUUGCUAAUACCGCAUAUGCCAUAGUCAUCGCAUGGUGACAGUGGGAAAGGAGUAAUCCGCUGAUAGAUGAGCUUGCGGCUGAUUAGCUAGUUGGUGGGGUAAGAGCCUACCAAGGCGACGAUCAGUAGCCGGACUGAGAGGUUGAACGGCCACAUUGGGACUGAGAUACGGCCCAGACUCCUACGGGAGGCAGCAGUCGGGAAUAUUGCGCAAUGGAGGGAACUCUGACGCAGUGACGCCGCGUAUAGGAAGAAGGUUUUCGGAUUGUAAACUAUUGUCCACAGGGAAGAAAAAGGACAGUACCUGUGAAGAAAGCUCCGGCUAACUACGUGCCAGCAGCCGCGGUAAUACGUAGGGAGCAAGCGUUAUCCGGAAUUAUUGGGCGUAAAGGGUGCGUAGACGGGUAAACAAGUUAGUUGUGAAAACCCUCGGCUCAACUGAGGACGUGCAACUAAAACUAUUUAUCUUGAGUGCAGGAGAGGAAAGUGGAAUUCCUAGUGUAGCGGUGAAAUGCGUAGAUAUUAGGAAGAACACCGGUGGCGAAGGCGACUUUCUGGACUGUAACUGACGUUGAGGCACGAAAGUGUGGGGAGCAAACAGGAUUAGAUACCCUGGUAGUCCACACUGUAAACGAUGGAUAC